Molecule: ribosomal RNA, 372 nt
Filed under: uncultured bacterium
Lineage: Bacteria
Description: bacterial SSU rRNA
Rfam family: Bacterial small subunit ribosomal RNA
Source: RNAcentral
AUACGUAGGGGGCGAGCGUUGUCCGGAUUUAUUGGGCGUAAAGGGUUCGCAGGCGGCCAAAUAAGUCAGAUGUGAAAGCCCACGGCUUAACCGUGGUAAGCAUUUGAAACUGUAUGGCUUGAGUUAAGGAGAGGAAAGUGGAAUUCCUAGUGUAGCGGUGAAAUGCGUAGAUAUUAGGAAGAAUACCAGUGGCGAAGGCGACUUUCUGGACUUAUACUGACGCUGAGGAACGAAAGCGUGGGGAGCAAACAGGAUUAGAUACCCUGGUAGUCCACGCCGUAAACGAUGAGCGCUAGGUGUCGGGUGUCAAAGCUCGGUGCCGCAGCUAACGCAUUAAGCGCUCCGCCUGGGGAGUACGUACGCAAGUAUGAA